CCCUUAGAUGUUCUGGGCCGCACGCGCGCUACACUGAUGCAUUCAACGAGCCUAUCCUUGACCGACAGGUCCGGGUAAUCUUUGAAUCUGCAUCGUGACGGGGAUAGAUUAUUGCAAUUAUUAAUCUUCAACGAGGAAUGCCUAGUAGGCGCAGGUCAUCAGCUUGCGUCGAUUACGUCCCUGCCCUUUGUACACACCGCCCGUCGCUCCUACCGAUUGGGUGUGCUGGUGAAAUGUUCGGAUCGGCCGUUUGUCGCGGUUUCCGCGGCUCGUGGCUGAGAAGUUCAUUAAACCCUCCCACCUAGAGGAAGGAGAAGUCGUAACA
Molecule: ribosomal RNA, 325 nt
Filed under: uncultured eukaryote
Lineage: Eukaryota
Description: partial 18S ribosomal RNA
Rfam family: Eukaryotic small subunit ribosomal RNA
Source: RNAcentral